UGAGGAAUAUUGGUCAAUGGAGGAAACUCUGAACCAGCCAUGCCGCGUGGAGGAUGAAGGUCCUCUGGAUUGUAAACUCCUUUUAUAAAAGAAGAAACCCCAUUUUUCUAAGUGGGUUGACGGUACUUUAUGAAUAAGCACCGGCUAACUCCGUGCCAGCAGCCGCGGUAAUACGGAGGGUGCAAGCGUUAUCCGGAUUCACUGGGUUUAAAGGGAGCGUAGGUGGGUUGGUAAGUCAGUGGUGAAAUCUCCGAGCUUAACUUGGAAACUGCCAUUGAUACUAUCAAUCUUGAAUUCUGUGGAGGUAAGCGGAAUAUAUCAUGUAGCGGUGAAAUGCUUAGAUAUGAUAUAGAACACCAAUAGCGAAGGCAGCUUACUACGCAGUUAUUGACACUGAGGCUCGAAAGCGUGGGGAUCAAACAG
This 423-nucleotide ribosomal RNA is filed under the name uncultured bacterium. RNAcentral's name for it is "bacterial SSU rRNA". It matches the Rfam family "Bacterial small subunit ribosomal RNA", at positions 355 to 775 of the family's 1533-position model. The record is from RNAcentral.